AGGUAGCAUUUAAAAGAGAUGCGUAUCUGAUACAAUCUUCCUAGAGUGAAGUUGUUACUUCCUGCUUGUGGUAUUGUUAGCAAGUUCUGCAAGUCUCUAAAUGACAAGACAGUGCC
RNAcentral lists this small nucleolar RNA (116 nucleotides) under Oryza punctata. Its description in RNAcentral is "Small nucleolar RNA snoR104". It matches the Rfam family "Small nucleolar RNA snoR104". Lineage: Eukaryota; Viridiplantae; Streptophyta; Magnoliopsida; Poales; Poaceae. The record is from Rfam by way of RNAcentral.